RNAcentral lists this ribosomal RNA (252 nucleotides) under uncultured bacterium. Its description in RNAcentral is "partial 16S ribosomal RNA". It matches the Rfam family "Bacterial small subunit ribosomal RNA", at positions 524 to 776 of the family's 1533-position model. The record is from RNAcentral.
UACGUAGGCAGCAAGCGUUGUUCGGAGUUACUGGGCGUAAAGGGUGCGUAGGCGGCCCUGUAAGUAUGGUGUGAAAUCUCCCGGCUUAACUGGGAGGGUGCGCUAUAGACUGCGGGGCUCGAGUGUGGGAGAGGAAAGUGGAAUUCCUGGUGUAGCGGUGAAAUGCGUAGAUAUCAGGAGGAACACCGGUGGUGUAAACGGCUUCUGGACCAUAACUGACGCUGAGGCACGAAAGCGUGGGUAGCAAACAGG